CGGGAUGGACAUACCUCUGGUGUACCAGUUGUCGUGCCAACGGCAUAGCUGGGUAGCUAUGUAUGGACGGGAUAAGUGCUGAAAGCAUCUAAGCAUGAAGCCCCCCUCAAGAUGAGAUUUCCCAACUUCGGUUAUAAGAUCCCUCGAAGAUGACGAGGUUAAUAGGUUCGAGGUGGAAGCGUGGUGACACGUGGAGCUGACGAAUACUAAUCGAUCGAAGACUUAAUCAA
This 230-nucleotide ribosomal RNA is filed under the name Staphylococcus epidermidis. RNAcentral describes it as "partial 23S ribosomal RNA". It matches the Rfam family "Bacterial large subunit ribosomal RNA", at positions 2693 to 2925 of the family's 2925-position model. Lineage: Bacteria; Bacillati; Bacillota; Bacilli; Caryophanales; Staphylococcaceae. The record is from RNAcentral.